GUGCCAGCAGCCGCGGUGAUACCGGCAGCUCAAGUGAUGUUCCAUAUUAUUGGGCCUAAAGCGUCCGUAGCUGGCCGACCAAGUCUCCCGGGAAAUCCACCCGCCCAACGGGUGGGCGUCCGGUAGAAACUGGCCGGCUUGGAACCGGAAGGCUCAGAGAGUACGUCCGGGGUAGGAGUGAAAUCCCGUAAUCCCGGACGGACUACCGAUGGCGAAAGCACUCUGAGAAGACGGCUUCGACAGUAAGGGACGAAAGCCAGGGUCUCCAACCGGAUUAGAAACCCGUGUAGUCC
This 293-nucleotide ribosomal RNA is filed under the name uncultured bacterium. Its description in RNAcentral is "partial 16S ribosomal RNA". It matches the Rfam family "Archaeal small subunit ribosomal RNA", at positions 455 to 747 of the family's 1478-position model. The record is from RNAcentral.